Molecule: ribosomal RNA, 253 nt
Filed under: uncultured bacterium
Lineage: Bacteria
Description: partial 16S ribosomal RNA
Rfam family: Bacterial small subunit ribosomal RNA
Source: RNAcentral
GACGUAGGGUGCGAGCGUUGUCCGGAUUUAUUGGGCGUAAAGAGCUCGUAGGCGGCUCGUCGCGUCGACCGUGAAAACCCGCGGCUUAACUGCGGGCUUGCGGUUGAUACGGGCGGGCUAGAGUUCGGUAGGGGAGACUGGAAUUCCUGGUGUAGCGGUGAAAUGCGCAGAUAUCAGGAGGAACACCGGUGGCGAAGGCGGGUCUGUGGGCCGAUACUGACGCUGAGGAGCGAAAGCGUGGGGAGCGAACAGG